Molecule: long non-coding RNA, 171 nt
Organism: Ananas comosus (pineapple)
Lineage: Eukaryota; Viridiplantae; Streptophyta; Magnoliopsida; Poales; Bromeliaceae
Exons: 3
Source: RefSeq, a predicted model, not a curated record
GGAAAAUGAGUCACUUAAAAGUCGCAUAGAUGGAAUGGAGGUUGAACUUCAAGCAAUUAAGGAAAUGUUACAACAACAAUUCAAUGCUCCUCCACCACCGUCUCGAUCUGAAGAGCAGGAAAUACCAUCUUAGCUUUAUAGCAAAAGAUGUUGAGCAGAGGGGACUUGAAG